UUUGCUGGCGACCGGCGCACGGGUGAGUAACACGUAUCCAACCUGCCCUUUACUCGGGGAUAGCCUUUCGAAAGAAAGAUUAAUACCCGAUAGUAUAAUGAUUCCGCAUGGUUUCAUUAUUAAAGGAUUCCGGUAAAGGAUGGGGAUGCGUUCCAUUAGGUUGUUGGUGAGGUAGCGGCUCACCAAGCCUUCGAUGGAUAGGGGUUCUGAGAGGAAGGUCCCCCACAUUGGAACUGAGACACGGUCCAAACUCCUACGGGAGGCAGCAUG
RNAcentral lists this ribosomal RNA (270 nucleotides) under uncultured bacterium. RNAcentral's name for it is "partial 16S ribosomal RNA". It matches the Rfam family "Bacterial small subunit ribosomal RNA", at positions 84 to 353 of the family's 1533-position model. The record is from RNAcentral.